UCAGAAAAAGAAACAAAAUGGGGAAAUUAGUACGUGGAAAUAGUGUUGAGGAAUCGAGUCUUACUAAACAACAAAAUAUCAGAGGGAAAUCAAAUUCUCGAUGAAUAAACACUUGGCUAACUCUCAUAUAGACGACACUAAUCGUAGUAGUCAUCUCCGAGUAUCGAGAGUACUGGUACAAAACCCGGGUAGGAAGCAUAUGCGUGUAUCUGUGGCAAAUCAUGGCCAACUUUGUCGUAACGCCAAAGCUGUGGCUUCAUUUUUCAUUGCUCAAACGUUUCGAAGCUAUACUAACUGCAAUUUCAUGAUGCUUGUAGCUGGUUGAUUGGUUGUGCUAAAGCUAAAAGAAAGCCAGGCAAACGAAUAGGUACGGUGCAUUUGUCGGUUCAUAAACCCGAGCCGAGCGGUUUUGGUGAACGGCGGCGGACAGCCGGACAAGUGAGAAACCGAAGAGAAUGUGCACAGCGGAGGAGAGAGAUGGAAAACGAGCAAACAUAACUGCAAUUUACUUUGGUCCACCAUUUUUUUCCCUUUCGAGGUUUCUUUCUUCUUGGCAUGUACCAACAAAGCAUACAUCUUAUCCGUCGAUAUGGUGGCUGUGGUUGUUUAUUGUCUUGGAAGUGAACUUUUUCGAAUCCUCUGUAAUAACAUCUUUACUUGUUUGUACUCUCCGAAACGCUCACAUCUCCCUUGCUCUUUGACUACUCGCGUUCGAGGUCAGCAUCUGGCAUUAUAGGCAGUUCGACAAGUUGCGGGAUUGGAUGCUGUGCUGGAAGAGCUCAUUCCAUCCGUUCGACACCGCCGAUGAGAUUCGGAUGACACAGAGGAGAAGGAAAGUCAAUUAUGGGUGUGCGUAAUAAUACCGAGGUAGCAGUAGCUGUGAACGCGGCUACACGAGAAGGUUAUUUCGUUAGUGUUGCACUGCUUUCGGCACGUAGCCCAUCGACCAUUCAGCGCACAUUACCUCGGCCUGCUAGUCGAUGCUGCAUGUAAACGAGGCACGAUCCGAAAACCCUCGAAAAAAAAAAACAAACAUGAACAAAACCAACAAUGCGCAAAGAAGAAUACGUUAAGUAAAUUUUACACCAACACCAAUGCAAGUCGUAGCCAAAACUGAAUAAUCCAUCUAAAAGGUGAACAGUAUUUCUUAGGAUUUUCAUAUUAGUUUUGACUUUGAUUUGUCCAACGUUUCGGUCCGAUUGAAUCUUGUUCAGGCUUCCCGAACUGAAAACUUUGAUAUUUUUCCAAAUAGAACGAAAAAGGAUCCGGAUCCGACCCCAAAUUCGGAUAUCUCGAACUUUUGAUGAUCUAUAGCAAAAGUUGUUUUGAUUGUCUCAACAAAUUGAACGGAGAACAAAUAAGUGCAAAGCUUCAAUAAAUAAACCAGAAUAUGUGAAAACAUUGAACAUAAGUAGGUAGGUGGAAAUGUUGUUACAACAUGUAGAAAUGAAGAAUAAUGGAAUAUCAGUUUUGUAUGAUUUGUUGCAAUAUUUAAGCCGUAUGUUAUAAAACAUGCUGAAUCAAAUGAGUCAUGAUAGAGUUGUACAAUAAAUCUUAAACAAAGCAUUGAUUCUUCAUUAUUCAAAACGAUUUAUGAAGAUUAAUCAAAACAAGGCAAAUUACAAUGUUCAUUACAAGAAAAUAACAGCCCACACUCGAGCAAUACCACCCCCUUAGGAGAAAAAUAUCGAUCUUUGCCUUCCAUUUGACGUGACUGCAAUUGGACGUGUGAGUGAACUAGAUAAUAUGGCACAGUAAACCAACAAAACCAAAGGAAUCGAAUUAGUAGCUCACACAGGAGAAAAUACACGGCGAGUGUGUUCAGGUUUCCAGCCGUGAAGCAUUUUUCAAACUUGCACCUCCGGACACGGACACGGAGUGCGCGCGAGUUAUCGAGCGAAAAAAAAGUUACCCAUAGAAAACACACAACGCAAGAUGAGGAUAAACAUCGACGAGAAAAAAAGCUAACAAUAAACAUGCGCAUUCUGACAUUCCUUAGAAAAAAUAUUCCAUCUCCACGUCUGGCGUUGGAAACCGUCGCUCUCCGCUCACCAGUCGCGAAUGUGGAAGAUGUUGGGAUCCUGUCGAUAUUACACAUUAUUUUACAGCGUGCAUACUUGUACUUCCAGUUUCAAACAUCAAUCGCUCGGUGCUGCUGCUACACUGCACUCUGAAAGAGGAGGCAUUAGUGGCAGAGGCCAGCAAUUCACUUAUUCACAACUUCACAACACAAGUCAUCAAUCGCACACGUCGCCAUUCGCUUGCGUCUGGAUAUGUGUGAUUAUUAUUAUUAUGUGUCCAUAUUCGUGCACACUCUCUGUAUAUAUCUAAAGAGCACAGCACAGUUUUGCAAAGAAGCAAAUGAGCAAAGCUCUGCGUGUCCAUCCGUCGUUGCCUAUAUCUUGGUUUCAUUCGCGGGAUACACCCACACAAGGAAAGACGAAGGAAAUCGAACAUUUUUUUUCACACAACGCUCCAGAACAGUGGGAUCGAUUUUGUGGAAAAUUUUCGUAUCCAAAUUUAUGUAAAGUAAGUUGUUUUUGAAUAACACAAAAUCAGAGCUUGACAAUUACACAAUGCAAUAGAUGGAAUCAGGUUUACACCAAUUUUACAAAUGAUUGUAGAAGUACUGCUUCCACCUUUCAAUCACGUCACUAAGGUAAGAUAAUGUCAUCUUUAUCUCUUCAUAUUCUAUGUCGAGAAAGACAUAGCUGCCCGAUAAGGAUGACAUAGAGAUGUCCGUUGACAUAUCAUUGGUAUACCUGCGUGAUAGUGAUUUGUUUACAAAUUUCCUUUGUUAAGAAUUGGUGAGAACUUCUAUUCUCCCGUAUAUGGAUUGCUUCCGAUAGGUUCCGUGAGAAUUAGAGAAGGAAGUAAGAAGUAUUUCUAUUACGAGAAGAUCCUGGACCGACCGGGAAUCAAACCCUCACCAUGGUCUUGCUGACUACCCGCGCGUGCAUCCCUUCGACUAUACGUACAUCACGAAUCCUCACGAAAUUUGAAUACCCUUCAUGGCCAAAAUGCCCAUAAUUUAAACCCACAGUGCCAGAGGAAGAAAAAAAAUCGUUUGUAGUUGUGCAAGGCAGCUAGCUGAACUUCGCUGCCUAUGAACGUUCUACGCUUCUUCGUCGCGUUUCGAACGUCCGAUUGCACAACUACCACCACCGUUUCCCUCUGGCAAAGGGAACUACACAAAACUUGCAAUAAUUAUUGUGUAUAGUAGUACACAUAUUUUGUUCUCGUUUGACAACCUUUCGAACGGCAGCGGAACACUCUCCUCCUCACUCGGGAGCCCUUUGCUUUGCGCUUCGUUGGUUGGUUGGAGUCUCGCGUUCGUCGUUCCCAGGGUUGCUUCUUCGUUCCUCUUGCUCUUUGUCCGCACCCCUUUCCUCCGCCCACGACGACUCGACGACGAUACCAUUCAAUUCGUGGCGGAAUCAAUUUUAUCCAUCUUCUUCGCAUUCUUCUUUCGACGGGGUUGUUGUUGUCGUCGUUCUUCUCAGUUCGCAGUUGCACCCAUCAGCAAGCAGUAUGCCAACAAAUCAGCAAAAAUAGAAAAUGGAUGCGACUCGCACUGCUCCCUCUGCUGGUGAGCGAAAUCCAUUCAAAGUGCGCCUACUGCGCGUAAAGAUUUGGUUUUGAUUGAACAUGACUUUUCCGGAAGCGGCGGUGGCCAUACAAAUUCAUACAUCCCACUUUCUCGUAGGGUAGCAGCUUAAUCGCCGCGAAAGCAUCAGAACCUCGCACUCGAAUUUGAUGUUAUUUUUAAACCCCGAAGAGACGGCGGACGAGAGCAGGCGAAAAAAUUGUAACAAGAUAAAAAUGAAUUCAAUUCAGUGUUUUAAUAUAAAAAUAACACCCAUACAGGCGCAGGCGAGCCAUUUGGCAUGUUAUUUUCCUUCCCGUCGACACAUCGCGCCAGGGCUGGUUGCGGACACUCAAAAAUGAAACCUUUCAGAUUUAGGUAGCAAGGGUCUACCCCCGUUUGGCAAAAUGCGAUUUGUCAUGAUACCGUUUGGCGUAAGUUAUUUGGCAUAAUUCUGAAUGAAAGACAUAUUUGGCUGAAGAUGGUCAAUCCAAUCAUUAUGCGCUCAUUGUACUGACGAAGGUUCCAUAUUUGACCUUCUCGCGUCCUCCUCAAGUUGUAAUGAUUGAAGUCUCAUCUUCUUCCGAUAGCACUUGAGUUUGACCGACAAAGGUUUAGUCAGAGCGUCGGCGAUCAUUGAUCCUGCAGGGCAGUAUUCGACAUCGAUAACGUUUCUACUCACAAUAUCCCGGAUGAAGUUAAACCGUGUGUGUGCUCUGUACUCCGGCUUCAUCCCUCGACACGUAGCAUCACCAUGCAGCUCUGGUUGUCUUCUCGGACGGAAAUCAGUCCGGUGGCUCUCUUGUUUACGUCCUUCAUUAGCUUCUGCCUGCAGCCAGAUCAGUUCCAGUUUAAAAUCUACAGUUGACUUCAGAUAUCGUAGCUUUCGUUUGGCCUCCGUCCAUUCAGCUUGAGAUGGAUUACUCAUCAUUCACUUCGUCCUUCCAUAGAUCCUCCGAUGAAAUUCAUACGUAGACCCACGAAUCAAAUAUCUUGAGAUGGCUUAAAUCAGGCUUUUCUCCAAUCCAGAGUUCGUACGGGGUAGACGGUAUAGGCUUCGUUAACAAACGGUUUUUCACGUAUGUGGCCGUAUUCACUUCUUCGACCCAGUACUUGUUCGGUAACUGUGCGUCAAGAAUCAUCCAGCAGGUGAGGUCAUUUCCACUAGUAAGCGAUUUUUACGCUCCGAAACUCCGUUCUGUUGUACGCUGUGGUGAACUUCUUGACGACAAUAACGAUCCAGAGUGUCAUUCCGGUACUUACCCCCUUGAUUCGAUCGUAUAAUUUUGGGAUCUUUUCUUAAGGUGUUUUUGGCAUACUACAAGUACAUAGUCUUGAAUCUACUCAGUAACUUCCAUAUUUUUUUUUUCAGAAAAUACACGAUGAUGUACCGGGAAUGGUCAUCGAUCGCCGUAAGGAAGUAAUGAUAACCUCCUGAUGUCCGCGUCUGCAUCGGCCCACAAACAUCCGUGAGGAUAAUGUCCCUCCAAGCAGGAUUCGCUCAUUACGUAGUGUUCACGGUCUUCGAUUUGAAUUCCAGUGGCUAGCUCUUUCUCUCCAGAGCCUGAAUCGUAUCAGGCUCGCGAUGUCCAAGAAUACGAUGCCAAGUAUGCAAGCAGUCAUCCGCUACACGAUCAUGGCACUCUUGGUGGCGAAUCUCUUCAUAGAAACAAGGUUUGGCUGUGGGACGUACAUCAUAUCUGAAAGGAGAACAUUACUGCGUUCCUCCUCCGGAGAUAUCCAUACUAUCCUGUAGGAACCUACUCCUCCUGUGAUGAUCUUCUUACGUCCGUCAUGGACCACGCUCUGCUCAACGCUCCUGCCCGACGUCAGGAAGUAAUCCAGAAUUACACACACAUGUUGGACGUCGCGUUGGAAUUGAUUUCCACGCAUCUCGCUCACAAACCUUCGGCAACAUCAACAACGAAAAUUCCUGCUCCCUGGAAUCUUGGUAAUCAUAACUUGAUUCGGGGCUUCUACAUAGUGGUCCCGAGGAGCGUUCCAUGUCUGCUUGGACGUACUUGAGUUCUUGAUUGGUUGUCUUCCAAAAGCCGCCACCGCCGGUCUGGAUGCGAUCAGGCUUGACAGAAACUCCCUCGCGAGAAAAUGAGGAAGCGAUUUUCUGAGGAGUGAAAAUAAAACUCAGAAAUCACAACGCAAAUCCUCAACAGCACCGAGCGAGAGCUUACCGCGCAGCGAGGAGUUCGUCCAACACUCAUAAUUGCUUGUUGUGCUUCUCACGUCCACUCACACUCAAAAAGCUCUCGCGAGUUCCACUCCCAUACAAAGAAAGACUCUCGAGGCGAAAAUCGCACUCAAAAACCCGAAAUAAUCAUCGGCUCUUUUUUCGUUCCCCUCUUCCUCGCUCAGUUUUUAUUGCCUCUCUGUUUGGGGUUCGUUCGCUCCCUCGCGACGAGGCAAAAGCAAAACACCGCUCUAGAGCAUGUUGCAAAACUCUUUUGAUUUCGAGGAGGAUUAUCAAGCCUGGUUGCGAUCACGAAUCGUCGCAAGUCGUUUCAAACCAUCAAAAAUUCGACCUUCGUCUUCCACGUCCCGUAGUUGCGAUUCUUGAAGAUUUUUCGAAACUUUCUUCGGGCUUGAAACAAUUUUCUUCUCUUUGUUGAUCGGUUGGCAGGGUAAUUCGCGCAGGCCCAUAACCUAUGGUCCACUGCACGAGUUUAUACUGACCUGCUUACUCUCACACGAAAUUUGACGUUUGAGAGGUGUCGGCACCGCUCAAACGUCAAAUUUUCUGUGAGAGUAAGCAGGCCAGCAUAAAUUGGUGCAGUGGACCAUUAGCGGGCAGUAAACGAUCUCUUCAGCAGUCAAACUAGUUCUGUAAUUUAUUACUAGAGUUGCUGUGAUUGGCCGUUAAUUGACUUACACAGUUCUGAAACUGAACUUGGAUGUUCAGGGUGGCCACUCAACUUGGUAAAAUAAAUUCCCGGUUUUUCCCGGUUCUUCAACAACUUUUUCCCGGUUUUGUAGAAACUUAUUUAUAUGGUAAAAUCGAAACACUGUCAUUACUAUUUUCAAUUUUCUCACUUUUCUGAAUUUGUUAAGUGAUACAGAAAAACAUUUAAGCAGGGAGUUCUAGUUAUAACAUUUAUAAUAGAAAAAAAAAAUUGAUGUUUGGCUUAGCAUGACUUGGUCCGGCAAGCCCAUAAACAUCAAUUGGUAGACGUAUUGCCUAGUGAAAAGACAACGCAGAUGGGCGAAAGCCAGGGGAUGCGUUGAUAAUAGCAGAAUAUAAUAGAAAAAAAAAUGAUAAAAGCUAAAUUUUAUAAUGAAACUGACAUUUUCUUCAAUCCUGAAAAAAUGAUAUAUUGUUCAAGGCAGGGUUCCUGAUUUCCACUUUUCAUCUUCUUCCACAUUCGAAGACAGUCACCAGCGAACGGUUGUCGCUUUAGUUCGUGUGUAUGCUUGUCAGCGACGAUAGCAAACUCCGGCGAAUGGUGGGAAGCCACACUUGAAAAUUAUUCAUUCGCCCACAUUCGCAUCGCAAGCGAAUGCGAUUCGUGAGUGAUGCGAUUGAUAUUGUGCAUACGAAUUUUUGAUGUUUUCGAAUUAUUUUCUUUGCUAAUCUAGCAUUUCAACAACAAUACAGUAAAAAUGUAUGCAUUACAUGCAGAAAUUCUCUUCUACUUAUGAUAAUAGCCGCUUCGAUCGCUCACCAGCAUUCUUCACCAUUCGCCAAUCAUUCAUUCGCUUGCGAUCCAAACUGCGACGAAUGGCAACGAAUAUUCAUGUCAAGCAGUUGGCUCAUCGCUUCCCACUGGUGAUGGGGUUGCGUGUUUGAACAUGACGAUCCGUUUGCUGCAUCUUUUUCGAUUCGCUUCAGCAAAGAGGAGUGAAUAUGAAUGGAGUGAGGCGAAUAUACCGAUCCUUGGUUCAAGGAAAUAUUUUUGAAAUUUUAUACAUAUUAAAUUCGCUUUAUUGGAAGUUUAAUAUAAAUUGAUGAUUCGAUUUACAUUUUACUGAGAAAUGAAAUUUGACUUUUCCAUCAAUGCUCUACAUUUACUUCAAGCUAAUUAAAAAAAAAACUAUAAUUGUGGAACUUCCGUGAAAAUAUCCUUGUGAAGCUGGAAAAAAAUCUUACUGAUAGCCAAAGUUUUUGGUGGAGGAAAACUCUGGCUGAAAUGCUGUUAGAAUCUUAUAGAAAAUCAUACUAAAAUUAUGGUAGAAAUUUGUAAUGGAAAUGCCAAGUGAAAUAGUUGGAGAAAAAUCAUAUCGCAUUUUUGAAUAGACUUCUCUAGAGUUCACUGAAGCAAUUCCUCGAAAAUCACUAGAGGAUUUUUUUGAAAAAAUCUUGAACAAAUUAGUAAUGGUAAUCUACGUUAAUUGUUUGUAAACACUUUGAAAUAACUAUUGGAUUCUUGAUAAUGUUUUCUGUUAGAAUAGAUAGAAAUGCCUAGAAGGAUUUCUAAAGAUUUUAAAGAUCCGCGGGAGAUAUUGUUAGAAUUCCCAAAUAAAUCACUCCGGAAAUUGGCUUUUUAAGCGAUGUUGAGAUAAUUCCAUAUUCUGAAUCUGCACGCUAAACUGAGCCGAAAUCCAAAUUUUCAUGAAUUUUGGAGCCCGGGAACCUAUUUAAAAAUCAAUUUGAAGUUAGUAUGGGAGCGAUUUGUCGAAUCACCCCUCGUCGGAUUUUGUACUGAGCGAAGCUGUCAAGCAGUUGCCUAGCUGUCAAUAGGUGAUUUGAAUAAAUCUUUUUGAAAUUGAUUUUAGGGAUCAAAACAAAGUUCUAAAAAUCUGAAAAAAAAUCAUAGAGGCUUAGAAAAAGGUGCUCUUUCGUUUGAAGAUAUAAAAUCACUAAAUUUUUCUUAGUUUAAAAACUCAAUUCUUGCAAUAAAUGCAUGUAACUUUAAAGAAUGUCUUUAGGAAUUAUUGGUAAAAUUGCUAGAUUGUCUUGAAUUUGUUGAAUUGUAGUUGGAAAAGUUAGUUGAGGAAUGUUUUGAGCAAUUCCUGUGGAAAUCAGUCGAUGUAUGUCUUGAGAAAUCUCUGAAAAAUUUGCGAAGAAAGCCUUGGUUAAUCACCAAGAGAGAUUCUAGGCUACCAGCAAUAAUCAAUGUUAUACUAUUUCUGGGAAACAUGUUCAGGUUAACCGGGAAAAAAACAUUAAAAAUUCUUGAAAACGAUCGAAUUCGGAAGAUUUCUAGUAUCAUACAGAUUUGGAAAUGUAAAGUGUUCAAAAAUAUAUUAUUUUUAGUGACAAGAUUUGUUCUGCAAUGUCUGAGGUAGAACAAUACACUGACUGCCUAUCCAAGAUAUUUACUUGUCCUUACUACUCCUCGCACAUCAAGGAAUCAACAUAUUUAUAAAGUUUUUUAGAUUAAAAAUCCUUAUCGUUCUAAAAGUGAAAGUCAAUCAUUUGAUUGACCUUCCAUCAGUCACGCAGUUGGCCAUGCAGCAAAAGCGUGCUGAGUACAAAAUGCGAUUUUUUCAACAUGUUGUGUGAUUAUUCAAGGUUUAGCUUUCGAUCUCCGUAUCUAGUAUCUAGGAUCUAGUAUUGAUAGAUCCUGUUCUUGUAAAAUCACAAUGAUUCUUAUAUAGAUGGAAUAAUAAUGAUUAUCCUGGACUUUCAUUACCAAGGUAAGUUCAACUACAGUUAGCCUAGUGGUUAAGGCUAAGGAUCGCCAAUCCGGAGACGGCGGGUUCGAUUCCCGUUCCGGUCGGGAAAAUUUUCUCGACUCCCUGGGCAUAGCGUAUCAUUGUAUUUGCCUCACAAUAUACAAAUUCAUGCAAUGGCAGGCAAAGAAAGCCCUUCAAUUAACAACUGUGGAAGUGCUCGAAGAACACUAAGUUGAAGCUAGGCCAAGUCCCAGUGGGGGCGUCGAGCCAUAAAGAAGAAGAAGAAGAAGGAAGUUCAUGUUCUAAGCAAAUUCCCGGUAUUUUCCCGGUUGUUUGCGAUUCCCGGUUAAUUCCCGGUUUUCCCAGUAUUCCCGUUUGGGUGGCCACCCUGUGUUUUCUGUGCUGAAUUCCUCAAAGGAUCUCUAUCACAAUUUCUCCUUCAAAUUAUGUUGCAGUUUCUCACAGAAUUAAUCGCAUGUGUUCUUCGAUGAUUUUUUUCAUCCAGAGGUUUAUUACGUAUUGGUUCCCAUGAAUAGUUAUUUGCGAAAAUUGUUCGGUGUUCCUUCGGGAUUGCAUUUCUUCAAAAGGUUUUCCCGAUAUGCUUCUGUUUGUCGCUGGAUUCCUUCCAAAAUAUAUGCAAAGUUCCGUCAGGAAUUUCUCCUAGUGAUUCGACGGAAUAACUUUCCAUCAGUUUCUCUCGGGAUUUGUACAGAAGUUCUUCUAGAUAUUUUUUCAAGAUGGGUUUCCAAUAUUUUUCAUGGAUCUCUUUGCGGAAUUUCUCACAGGUUUUUACAGUUGCUCCUUGAAUUUCCUUAAUAUUUCUUACAACGAAUUUCGUGAAUUAUUGCCGGAGAAUUUCGAGAAUAUUAUAGCAAUAGCUCCAGAAGAAAUCCCAGAAGGAAAAAAAUCUUAGCUCGGCCUGUUGAUUAGGCAAAUAAACAAGAAAAGUCCCAGGAGAACUCUAAGAGAAAUCUCAAGUUUAUUAUUAUUAUAUUUUAUUAAAGACACUUUACCAAAAAAGUUGGCAUUCGUGUCCAAGAAAUCUCAAGUGAAACUUUAAAAGAAACCCCGCAUUUCAGGCCAAACAUGUGUAAAGGUCCAAUCUGCAGAAGAGAGGCUCUCUUUAAUUUCCCUGUCUUUCGUUAAUAUCUCAGCUAUUAAUUUGUAUUAUGAUUGUCUCCUUGCAUUGGACGAUGGUCAAAACAAUCGUCUUUUGAUUUGUACUGCAAAAAUAGUUGAAAAGUGUACCAUUACAUUGCAAUAAUUGAAAGAGAAAGUGAACAAAGAGAGCCUCUCAAUUGCAGAUAGGACCUAUUGAAAUGUUUGGCCUGAUUUAGGAAAUAUCAAAGCCGUAACUUCUAUAGAAAUCCAGAGAAGAACUCUAGAAGUAAGCUCACGGAAAUUUCGGAGAAACUUCGAAAUAAAUCCCAGGAGGAAAUAUUUGUGUAAAGACCCUUAAACCCUUUUGCCUUCAAAUGCUUCAUGUUUUACAUCCCUCAAAACUCUCUAGUAAAAAUUCCAGUAUUAACUCCCGUAGCAACUCUGGAAUAAGCCCCGGGAAGAUUUUCUGGGGAAAUUCUAAGACGAAUGCCGGAAGUAAUCGCGGAAAAUAUUCAUGAGGAAUCCAUACAAAAACUUUAGAAGAAAUCCCGCGAUAACAUCUUUGAUAUAUUCUGAGCGAAACUGUUGUGGAGAUGUCAGGAUAAAUUUUGGCAGAACUCUCAGUAAAUGUCUUUGAGCAAGACGCAGGAGGAAUUCCGUAGAAAUCCCACGAAAGACUAUGCUACCAUGUGCAACAUAGUUGUCUCAAUGUUAAUAAAGAUUCCCAUAGACUAUGGGACAAUUAUGCUGCGCACGGCAGUGUCGGGAAAAUCUCUGGAAAGUUCUGCAAAGAAAUUCUGUAGGAUCCCGUGAAAAACUCUAGAAGAAAUCAGUCAAAAAUUAGGAAUUUUGGAGGAAUCCCGGUAAGACUUCUUGAAAAUAGGAAUCCGGAAGAAUCUCCAGGACUUCAGAAACGAAUAUCGUAAACUGGGGAGUAAUUGAUCAGUGGGUGCACGGUGUCAAAAUUUCGAUUAUUAUUGAACUUUUAUGUACCUUGGAACUUUGUUCAGAGAAUGUCAGCUUUCCGGCUAUAUUUUAUAAUUGCAAAGCUUGAAAAUACUCGAUCGGAGAAAUUUUGAUUUACCUAUUUUACCUAUUUACCUAUUUAGCUAUUUUCCAUACCAAAAUUCAUAAGGUAAAGUUUUGAGCCGAAAAACAUCCUAUUCAAAAUGUAUGGGAAAAUUUUCUCCGAUAGAAUAUUUUUCAGUCUUCCGAUGAGGAAAGUACAGCCGAAAUACUAAUCAUUUUCGAAGAGGAAUCCGAGGUACAUAAAAGUUCGAUAAUAAUCGAGAUUUUGACACCGUGGGGGUGAACCUGAUCACUUAAUUACCCGCGGAUAUCGAAUUUCAAGGAAGCAACAAUAAUAUUUUAACCAUUCACAAUCUAAUGACAUAACAUUAAAAUGGAAUGGUAACUUCCUUGGAAGUCGAUAUCCGUGGAUAAUUGAGUGAUCAGGUUCACCCCACUGAUCAACUACACCCCAGUUUACGGUAUCAUGAAAAACAACGUCGAAAAAACCGGAAGGAGUCUUGUAAGAAAUCCUGGGAGGCAAUGCAAAAGGUAUUUCUAAAAAACUUCCAGAACAAACCUUAGAAAAAUCCUUGUAGUGGAUUUUUUGUGGAUGCACACACUAACGCUACCUACUCUUCAACAACUUUUUUAUUCUGUAGAUGUACAAUGUAUAAACUCUGUUGACUCUACUGCCGCCACUCGCAUAACAGUCCCAUUUUUGCUGGGUUUCCUAUUCAUAUGGGACUGUUUUGCGAGUGGGGGCAGUCUACGUUUGAGCUGAUCAACAAGAAGUAAACUUCAUUAAUUUUAAUUCAUACAACCCGAUAUUUAUUUAUUCAUCGGAGCAAAAUUUCCCUGAGUAUUCCAGGGUUUUCCCUGUUAGGGUUCGUUCAAAUAUUACGUAACGUUAAAGGGGGAGGAAGGGGGUCCAUCGCUAUGUUACGCUUCAUACAACCAUUUAAAUAAUCCAUACAAAAAUUGUUACAUCGGGGAGGAAGGGUGUCUAAAAUUGUCAAAUUUUGCGUUACGUAAUAUUUGAACGAACCCUUAAUUAAAAUUCCAUGAUUCCCGGUUUUUUCAGGUAGUAGACAUCAUGCACGGGGGUGAAUCUUCGUCACGAAAAGCACUGCCCGUUCGAUAGCUCAACACUAGCGAACCUGAUGGUGGAAGUCAAGCUUUAGCCUACAGCGAGCAUAGGGAGGCGGCGUAGCACGCUUUGAUGAUUUUUUAUUUUCCCAUGUAAAUUCAUUCCAAUCUACACUGAAAUAAUUCUAAGAGCCUUUUUUAUCAGACACCACACAUACAUUGUACCUCUAGUCUGACACGUUCACUUCAAAUGAAUCGUUAUACGUAUUAUUUCAUAAACAGUUCCGAUUGAAAAGCCUUCCAAUAAAUCUAAAUGACACUUGCGCAUAUCGGAGUUAUAUGCAUAUUCCACGAUCGAUACAUUUUUCCUCAUCUGUAGAGCCUUUUAACCACUGCGUCCAUUAUUUAGGAAUAUUGUGGUAUGACCCAUAUUUAAUUUGGUGCUAGUCAAGUAUCCUGUCACAAUUGAGCUGUGAUGGACAAUGGUUGAUGUAACACCUGAUCCCAACUAGGCACAACUCGUUUUAUAAAGUUUAUUACCCUGUUGGGAUUACUUCUCCAAAUUUCCAAGGGCUCUAGAAACCCUUUACCAAAUAUCGCCAAUCUGUGAUGGUACAGCACUCCGCAGUUGCAGAGUAAAUGCUCGGCAGUUUCGUUUUCCGUUUGACAGAAACGACACUCGGAGGAUUGGAUUUUUCCAAUCUUACUUAGAUGAUAUUUACUCGGGCAGUGGCCAGUCAUCAGACCAGUAAUUACCCUGAGAUCUCUUUUGUUUAGAUUCAGUAUGGACCUGGCUUUUUCUGCACUGGGUUUUAUGAACCUUUUUGCUUGCUUGGAUGUAUCCGUGGCAUUCCAAUUAGAUUCUACCGUGGACAUUUCCCAAGUUUUUAGUUUCAUCCGAAGAGCACACUCAGGAACUCCACAGAAAGGUUCAGGGCCUACAAAGCUUGAUGCCGCACCCUGUCUAGCUAAAUUGUCGGCGUUUUCAUUUCCCAGAAUUCCACAAUGACCGGGCACCCAGUAUAAAGUUACCUCGUUCCUACUGGCCAAUUGCUUCAGAGAAAUAAUGCAUUCCCACACUAGCUUUGAUUGACACGUGAAAGCUUUUAGCGCAUUUAGAGCCGCCUGACUGUCCGAAAAAAUACAGAUCUUGGCAAACCUAUAAUUUCUUUUCAGACAAAUGUUGGCACACUCUAGAAUGGCUUGAAUUUCCGCUUGAAAUACAGUGGGACUGCAUCCCAUUGGUAUAGCCUUACUGAUACCGGGGCCAAAAACACCAGCUCCAGUAUUUUCUCCCAUCUUGGACCCAUCAGUAUAAAAUACAAUAGAACCUGGACGUAAACUUGGCCCACCAGCAUCCCAAACAUAGCGACAUGGUUUCACCACUUUGAAGGGAACAUCAUAGUUGGUCUUCGUUAUCAUCCAAUCUUCUACUGUUUUUAUGUCCAUGUUUAAUUUGAAGUCUUUGAUGAUCCUCAAAUGUCCAGCAAGAUCCCCGUCUAGGACUUUAUUGUAACGUAUAAACUACAGGGCACGUUUUGCCGCUUGUAGUUUAACAAAUUGAUGCAAUGGCAGUAAAUUAAGAAGGGCAUCCAAAGCAACUAAUGGAGUGCUUUUCAUUGCUCCUGUCAUAGAUAUACAUGCAAGUCUUUGUAACUUACUUAGCUUCUUUUGACAGGUUACCUCAUUUGUUUUGGGCCACCAAACAAGUGAAGCAUAAGUAAUCUUAGGCCGGACUAUUGCAGCAUAGAUCCAGUGAAUCAUGUUAGGUCUAAGACCCCAGGUUUUUCCUAAGGCUUUGCUGCAAACCCAAAGGGCAUUGGUACCCUUGGUUAAAACAUUGUUUAAAUGAGAAUUCCAAUUCAGUCUUUUGUCCAAAGUUACCCCAAGAUGUUUAACUUCUUCUGAGAACUGAAUUUGAACUCCAUCUAAAGAAGGUUCAGUAAGAUUUAUUUUUAACCUUCUAGUAAAAGGUACAAUUACAGUUUUUGAAGGGUUUACGUUUAAUCCCUCCUCUCGGCACCAUUUGAUGGUAACAUUCAACGCAGAUUGUAGCCGGCUAGAUAUCGUGUCGUCAUAUUUUCCACGUAUCAGAAUAGCUACAUCAUCUGCGUAUCCAAUAACCUCAAAGCCUUGAUUGAUGAGUUUUUUAAGGAGUUCGUCCACUACCAAAGACCACAAUAAGGGCGAUAGUACUCCUCCUUGAGGACAGCCCUUCACAGAUCUUACUGAUAGUUGCGCACCUCCAAGAACGGAAGAGAUCUCUCGAUCUCUAAGCAUCGAUAUUAUCCAUUCAAUAAUGCAUUUAUCCAAGCCCCUUGCUUCCAUUGCAGAACGCAUUGAGCUGUAGGAUGCGUUAUCGAAUGCUCCUUCAAUGUCGAGAAAAGCAACCACGGCUAUUUCCUUGGCUUGGAACGAUUUCUCAAUUUUGCCGACUAGCGACUGUAGCGCUGUUAUAGUAGAUUUGCCUGUUUGAUAAGCAAAUUGAAACUUGCUUAGAGGCAUUUCUACUAAGCUGGUAGACUUGGCAAAGUCAUCCACUAUUUUCUCCAUGGUCUUUAACAGAACACAAGAAAGGCUUAUGGGUCUGAAGGCUUUUGGAGUUGUUUUGUCCCGCUUGCCAGCUUUUGGGAUAAAAACAUGCCUUAGGUAUGUAAGCUAAAGUAAUACUGGCUCUGAAUAUUUCGGUUAAGAGCGGACGAUCGAUACAUUAGCUGUGCAUAUAACUUUGGCCAGGUGGAAAAGCAACAUUGGCAGAUGAAGUGGAACAUGUUUUGCAGAAUUCCGCAAUUCCAGUAAGUAUGCUUCGUGGUCGUGCGGCUAGCGGCGUCGGUCAUUUGGGCGUUGUGAGUUCGAUUCCCGCUCCAGCCAAGGAAACUUUUUUUCAACAUAUGAAGGAUAUUAUUGGAGUUGCAUAUACAUUGGUGCACCCAGCCCACAUGAUAGAAGCAAAAUGCAUGGCAUAUAACAGUAUCAUGGCCAUCUGAGAGUCAUACCACAUGCGUCGCAUAUAACUCUCACUUCACAUUUUCAACCCUUGAUUAGAUUCAUAUGAUAUUCCAAUAGUGCAGAAAUAUAUGACUGGCACAUAACUGCGAUCGAGAGAGUUGGCUCAGUGUAGUUUUCCAAGUGGAAAUUUCACUACUUCCACCUCGAAACUUCACAUUUGUUCGAAGAUACACAUCUGUUCUGUGCAUCAUGUUCAAUGAAACCUCGUCAUCCUGGGAUUAGACUACUCUAUUCAGAUAACUGGGCACAAUUUGUGCUGUAUUGCAUGCUAUGUUUUGUGCAUUUGUAAUGUUCCAUUUUAGUUUUCGUAUCGGUGCCCAAACGUGGAGCCCGAUGCGGACACUAAAAACCGAGCAUUUGUUGGGAUCUGCUAAUAUUUGACCGUAAUGUGUCGCCCAAUGUGAGAUACGAUGUAUUUGUAGUGCUCUGCAAAACUUUUGUUUGUUUCAACCGGCGAUCGAUGCGUUGCAACAUCCAGCGUUUUUCAGCAGACGAUAUGAUUGCUGACUAUCACCAGAAGCUGAACGAGCGGGAUGAAAUCAACGAGAUCGAAAAUCUCUGUGGGAGGUGACCUAUUUGCAACUGAUGAGGAUCUAAGGACUCUAAGGACGUUCAGAACUACUGGAAGCGAUUGGCCCAGGACCGAGACUAGUAAGGGCGAAUAAGCGCCAUUCGGCGUAAACUCGCCGCGACGAGCUGCAGCCCAUCAUGAAUCAAGUCAGGGUAACGAUGACGGGUUCGGUUGAUCCAGGAACUUUCCGUAAUGGAAAUUUACUUGACUUUCUUGAGCAUAGAGUAUCUUCGUUCCUGCCACAUUAAGUACACAUGCCAAAUCGUCCCCUUAAUGCUAGAACUAGGUAACUGGUUUUGCGAAAUCGCGAGCAAUUUGUUUACUUCUGAACGUUCACCACAAUAAACAAAAGUUUGUCGAUUGAAACUACAAAAACACAUAAUGAUGCUUCAUUUAAGACCGACAAAGUGUUUGUUUUAUAGCAGGAUAAGUUUUAUGUACCAGCCAUUUUUACCCAUAUUUUCCAAAACGAGUUACCUAGUUCUAGCAUUAAGGGGGCGAAAUAAUCAUUGAUAGAUGAAACUCUCAGUUAAUAACUGUGGGAUGCUCAUAGAACAGCAUGCUGAAAAGCAGGCUUUGUCCCAGUUGAAACGUUACACAAAGGACAGGGGAUCUAGAAAUGACUUUAGUUAUCCGCCGUCAUCCUACUUCAAAUCCAAGGAGCCCUCUGUUUUUCCAUGGGUCUCAUAGGAAAGACACCAUUUUUAACAUCAGCGUUCGCUAUCAUCCCUGUCUGCCAGCGAAUCGACGUCGUAUUGAUGAUGGGGUUCGGAUUCGUGUGUCUUUGUUCCGUCGUCGCGAGUUGGUUGGUUGGUUGGAAGCAGCAGUACUUGCGUGUUUUUUAUUUGCGCUAAUGAAAACCGACACGCACACAGCCUCGCGACCUCAAUAGGUUCGAUGACGACGACGGCGGGAGACGGGAAUAGGUACAGCAGCAGCAGUAGUAGGCUUUGCAAUAGCCAGCUAGAAAGAGGAGCUGCUCGCGAGACGGGAAUCCGAUAACGGCAAUUGGACUCGCGGAUUUUUUCGUCUUUCACUGCUGCUCCUCUGCACAAGUUGAUU
This is a long non-coding RNA of Aedes albopictus (Asian tiger mosquito), 16994 nucleotides long. RefSeq lists it as uncharacterized. The transcript is spliced from 2 exons. NCBI's taxonomy places the organism in Eukaryota, Metazoa, Arthropoda, Insecta, Diptera, Culicidae. The record is from RefSeq and is a predicted model, not a curated record.